Molecule: ribosomal RNA, 775 nt
Filed under: uncultured Neocallimastigales
Lineage: Eukaryota; Fungi; Neocallimastigomycota; Neocallimastigomycetes; Neocallimastigales
Description: partial large subunit ribosomal RNA
Rfam family: Eukaryotic large subunit ribosomal RNA
Source: RNAcentral
CGCAUCUGUGCAUGCAGCAUAUCAAUAAGCGGAGGAAAAGAAACUAACAAGGAUUCCCUCUAGUAACGGCGAGUGAAGCGGGAAGAGCUCAAAUUUGAAAUCUUAAAGGGUUUCCCUUUACGAAUUGUAGUUUAAAGAAGUGUUUUCUGUUGAGGUUUUGGUAAAAGUUCUUUGGAAUAGGACAUCAUAGAGGGUGAGAAUCCCGUAUUUGACCUUUACUUUCAACUUUGUGAUACACUUUCAAAGAGUCGGAUUGUUUGGGAAUGCAGUCCAAAAUGGGUGGUAAAUUUCAUCUAAAGCUAAAUAUUGGCGAGAGACCGAUAGCGAACAAGUACCGUGAGGGAAAGAUGAAAAGAACUUUGAAAAGAGAGUUAAACAGUACGUGAAAUUGUCAAAAGGGAAGCGUUUGACACCAGUGUUGUUUUUCUGAGAAUCAAUUAAAGAACUGUUUAUGCUAAGUUGUUUAGACUUUAUCAGCUAACUGUUUAGUUUUGAGCUUUUCUUUAAUGCACUUUUCAGUUAACAAGUCAACAUCAAUUUCUUUUGCUGUAAAAAAGCUUGAGGAAGGUGGCUUGAGAUUCGUCUUAAGUGUUUAUAGCCUCUUGCCUAUGCAGUCGGAGAGAUUGAGGUCUGCAGCGUAGAUCCUUCGGGGCUAAAUGCAUUUGUGCUAAGUUAUAGCAUUUUAUAGACAACUUGUUGACUAUGAUUUGUCUUGUAGCUUACUCGCUUAUGUUAUUUUACCUACGCUUAGGAUGUUGACAGCAGUAUAGACUGU